Molecule: ribosomal RNA, 497 nt
Filed under: uncultured bacterium
Lineage: Bacteria
Description: partial 16S ribosomal RNA
Rfam family: Bacterial small subunit ribosomal RNA
Source: RNAcentral
GAUGAACGCUGGCGGCGUGCCUAAUACAUGCAAGUCGAGCGAACAGACGAGGAUCUUGCUCCUCUGACGUUAGCGGCGGACGGGUGAGUAACACGUGGAUAACCUACCUAUAAGACUGGGAUAACUUCGGGAAACCGGAUCUAAUACCGGAUAAUAUAUUGAACCGCAUGGUUCAAUAGUGAAAGACGGUUUUGCUGUCACUUAUAGAUGGAUCCGCGCCGCAUUAGCUAGUUGGUAAGGUAACGGCUUACCAAGGCAACGAUGCGUAGCCGACCUGAGAGGGUGAUCGGCCACACUGGAACUGAGACACGGUCCAGACUCCUAAGGGAGGCAGCAGUAGGGAAUCUUCCGCAAUGGGCGAAAGCCUGACGGAGCAACGCCGCGUGAGUGAUGAAGGUCUUCGGAUCGUAAAACUCUGUUAUUAGGGAAGAACAAAUGUGUAAGUAACUAUGCACGUCUUGACGGUACCUAAUCAGAAAGCCACGGCUAACUACGUG